Molecule: ribosomal RNA, 490 nt
Filed under: uncultured bacterium
Lineage: Bacteria
Description: partial 16S ribosomal RNA
Rfam family: Bacterial small subunit ribosomal RNA
Source: RNAcentral
AUUGAACGCUGGCGGCAGGCCUAACACAUGCAAGUCGAACGGUAACAGGAAGCAUCUUGCUGCUUUGCUGGCGAGUGGCGGACGGGUGACCAAUGUCUGGGCAACUUCUCGGUGGAGGAGGAUCACGAAUGGAAGCGGUUACUACAUCCGCAUAACGGCGCAAGACCAAGGAUGGUGGCCCUCGGGCCUCUUGGAAUAGGCUGUGCCGAGGUGGGAUUUGGUAGUAGGUGGGGUAACGGCUCACCUCGGCGCCGAACCGUAGCUGGUCUGAGAGGAUGACCAGCCACACUGGAACUGAGACACGGUCCAGACUCCUACGGGAGGCAGCAGUGGGGAAUAUUGCACAAUGGGCGCAAGCCUGAUGCAGCCAUGCCGCGUGUAUGAAGAAGGCCUUCGGGUUGUAAAGUACUUUCAGCGGGGAGGAAGGGAGUAAAGUUAAUACCUUGGCGCAUUGACGUUACCCGCAGAAGAAGCACCGGCUAACUCCGUG